UACGUAGGUCGCGAGCGUUGUCCGGAAUUACUGGGUGUAAAGGGCGUGUAGGCGGGGCGGCAAGUCAGAUGUGAAAUUCCGGAGCUCAACUCCGGCGCUGCAUCUGAAACUGUCGUUCUUGAGUGCUGGAGAGGAAAGUGGAAUUCCCAGUGUAGCGGUGAAAUGCGUAGAGAUUGGGAGGAACACCAGUGGCGAAGGCGGCUUUCUGGACAGUAACUGACGCUGAGGCGCGCAAGCGUGGGGAGCAAACAGG
Molecule: ribosomal RNA, 253 nt
Filed under: uncultured bacterium
Lineage: Bacteria
Description: partial 16S ribosomal RNA
Rfam family: Bacterial small subunit ribosomal RNA
Source: RNAcentral